GAUCUGGUGGUGUAACUGGUAACACGGCUGCUUUGACUAAACGGCGAUCACGUACGAAGUUAAGCAGGAGCUCCCCGUUCGAUUCGGGGUCAGGUCG
Molecule: non-coding RNA, 97 nt
Organism: Mycena metata
Lineage: Eukaryota; Fungi; Basidiomycota; Agaricomycetes; Agaricales; Mycenaceae
Source: the annotation of a GenBank genome assembly